This is a non-coding RNA of Desulfotomaculum nigrificans CO-1-SRB, 168 nucleotides long. The record is from Rfam. Lineage: Bacteria; Bacillati; Bacillota; Clostridia; Eubacteriales; Desulfotomaculaceae.
UCACUGGCAACGGUGGGGUCUAAAGGAAGCCGAAGGGGGAACUUGGAACAUAGCGAAAGCGAACCGUGGUUGGCCGAUCAGGUGGGUAACCUUGCAUAUUAUGGGAAAGCCCAAUAGCUGGACAACCUGAUAGGUUAGGACUGAUGGAUUAAAGUUCAGGCAAGCAGA